GAUGAAGAACGUAGUAAAAUGCGAUAAGUAAUGUGAAUUGCAGAAUUCAGUGAAUCAUCGAAUCUUUGAACGCACAUUGCGCCCGCCAGUAUUCUGGCGGGCAUGCCUGUUCGAGCGUCAUUUCAACCCUCAAGCUCAGCUUGGUGUUGGGACUCGCGGUAACCCGCGUUCCCCAAAUCGAUUGGCGGUCACGUCGAGCUUCCAUAGCGUAGUAAUCAUACACCUCGUUACUGGUAAUCGUCGCGGCCACGCCGUAAAACCCCAACUUCUGAAUGUUGACCUCGGAUCAGGUAGGAAUACCCGCUGAACUUAAGCAUAUCAAUAAGCGGGGA
This 332-nucleotide unclassified non-coding RNA is filed under the name soil metagenome. RNAcentral's name for it is "partial contains 5.8S ribosomal RNA, internal transcribed spacer 2, and large subunit ribosomal RNA". The stretch from base 1 to 120 matches the Rfam family "5.8S ribosomal RNA", at positions 35 to 154 of the family's 154-position model. The record is from RNAcentral.